GAGGCGGUAUCUUCUACGGGAAGAACUGCACUCUGGGGACAGAAUUGAACUUUAAGGAACACCUUCUUAACUGCUUUUGCCGGUUACGUUGGAUUCUGCUCUGAGCCGAAAGGACCGAGACAGAAGG
Regulatory RNA element from Paenibacillus uliginis N3/975, 127 nucleotides. It matches the Rfam family "pan motif". NCBI's taxonomy places the organism in Bacteria, Bacillati, Bacillota, Bacilli, Caryophanales, Paenibacillaceae. The record is from Rfam.